CUCUUUGAUAUUAAUAAAUAAAGAGUCGGACCUGCCCGGUGAAUAACUUUUUAACGGCCGCGGUAUUUUGACUGUGCGAAGGUAGCAUAAUAAUUUGCCCUAUAAUUGAGGGCUGGUAUGAAUGGUUUGACGUGAACAAUGCUGUCUCUGCAUUGAUUUUUGAGAAUUUGAUCUUUAGGUGAAGAAACCUAAAUUCUAUUAAAAGACAAGAAGACCCUAUUGAGCUUUAAAAAAGUAGGUAAGAUUUGAUUUAUCUUAUAGAGAAUUUUAUUUGUUUAAUUAUUUUGGUUGGGGCGACUAAGGAACAGUUAAAGCUUCUUUUAUUAUAUAAAAUUUUACAGAUGUUGAUCCAAACAUUUUGAUUAGAGAAAUUAGCUACCAUAGGGAUAACAGCAUAAUUUCUUUUGAGAGUUCUUAUCGAAAAGGGAGUUUGUGACCUCGAUGUUGGACUAAAAUUUCCUGAAGAUGUAGUAGUCUUCAAGGGUUGGUCUGUUCGACCAUUAAAAUU
Molecule: ribosomal RNA, 508 nt
Filed under: Diminovula alabaster
Lineage: Eukaryota; Metazoa; Mollusca; Gastropoda; Littorinimorpha; Ovulidae
Description: partial 16S ribosomal RNA
Rfam family: Bacterial large subunit ribosomal RNA
Source: RNAcentral